GCUUACGGCCACACCGCCUGGUAUACGCUUUGAUCUCGGAAGCUAAGAUAGGUUGGGCCUGGUUAGUACUUGGAUGGGAGACCGCCUGGGAAUACCAGGUGCUGUAAGCU
Molecule: ribosomal RNA, 110 nt
Filed under: Scophthalmus maximus (turbot)
Lineage: Eukaryota; Metazoa; Chordata; Actinopteri; Pleuronectiformes; Scophthalmidae
Source: RNAcentral